Molecule: ribosomal RNA, 493 nt
Filed under: uncultured bacterium
Lineage: Bacteria
Description: partial 16S ribosomal RNA
Rfam family: Bacterial small subunit ribosomal RNA
Source: RNAcentral
GACGAACGCUGGCGGUGUGCUUAACACAUGCAAGUGGUGCGACGAACCAGAGCUUGCUCUGGGGCAAAGCCGCGAACGGGUGAGUAACACGUGGGUAAUCUACCCCGAUGACCGGGACAACCCGAGGAAACUCGGGCUAAUACCGGAUGUGGUGCGGAGACAUAAGUCUCUUCACUAAAGGUAGCUUCGGCUUCCGCAUUGGGAGGGGCCCGCGGCCCAUUAGCUUGUUGGUGGGGUCAAGGCCUACCAAGGCAACGAUGGGUAGCUGGUCUGAGAGGACGAUCAGCCACACUGGGACUGAGACACGGCCCAGACUCCUACGGGAGGCAGCAGUGGGGAAUCUUGCGCAAUGCGCGAAAGCGUGACGCAGCAACACCGCGUGAGGGAAGAAGGCCUUAGGGUUGUAAACCUCCUUCAGAUGGGACGAAGGUUCUCCGGUGAAUAGCCGAGAGGAUUGACGGUACCGUCAGAAGAAGCUCCGGCUAACUACGUG